GAGUUUGAUCCUGGCUCAGAUUGAACGCUGGCGGCAGGCUUAACACAUGCAAGUCGAACGGUAACAUGAGUGCUUGCACUUGAUGACGAGUGGCGGACGGGUGAGUAAUGUAUGGGGAUCUGCCGAAUGGAGGGGGACAACAGUUGGAAACGACUGCUAAUACCGCAUAAAGUUGAGAGACCAAAGCAUGGGACCUUCGGGCCAUGCGCCAUUUGAUGAACCCAUAUGGGAUUAGCUAGUUGGUAGGGUAAUGGCUUACCAAGGCGACGAUCUCUAGCUGGUCUGAGAGGAUGACCAGCCACACUGGAACUGAGACACGGUCCAGACUCCUACGGGAGGCAGCAGUGGGGGAUAUUGCACAAUGGGGGAAACCCUGAUGCAGCCAUGCCGCGUGUAUGAAGAAGGCCUUCGGGUUGUAAAGUACUUUCGGUGAUGAGGAAGGUGGUGUAUCUAAUAGGUGCAUCAAUUGACGUUAAUUACAGAAGAAGCACCGGCUAACUCCGUGCCAGCAGCCGCGGUAAUACGGAGGGUGCGAGCGUUAAUCGGAAUGACUGGGCGUAAAGGGCAUGUAGGCGGAUAAUUAAGUUAGGUGUGAAAGCCCUGGGCUCAACCUAGGAAUUGCACUUAAAACUGGUUAACUAGAGUAUUGUAGAGGAAGGUAGAAUUCCACGUGUAGCGGUGAAAUGCGUAGAGAUGUGGAGGAAUACCGGUGGCGAAGGCGGCCUUCUGGACAGAUACUGACGCUGAGAUGCGAAAGCGUGGGGAGCAAACAGGAUUAGAUACCCUGGUAGUCCACGCUGUAAACGAUGUCGAUUUGGAGUUUGUUGCCUAGAGUGAUGGGCUCCGAAGCUAACGCGAUAAAUCGACCGCCUGGGGAGUACGGCCGCAAGGUUAAAACUCGAAUGAAUUGACGGGGGCCCGCACAAGCGGUGGAGCAUGUGGUUUAAUUCGAUGCAACGCGAAGAACCUUACCUGGUCUUGACAUCCACAGAAUCUUGCAGAGAUGUGAGAGUGCCUUCGGGAACUGUGAGACAGGUGCUGCAUGGCUGUCGUCAGCUCGUGUUGUGAAAUGUUGGGUUAAGUCCCGCAACGAGCGCAACCCUUGUCCUUUGUUGCCAUCGGUUAGGCCGGGAACUCAAAGGAGACUGCCGUUGAUAAAGCGGAGGAAGGUGGGGACGACGUCAAGUCAUCAUGGCCCUUACGACCAGGGCUACAUACGUGCUACAAUGGCGUAUACAAAGGGAGGCGA
RNAcentral lists this ribosomal RNA (1249 nucleotides) under uncultured Gammaproteobacteria bacterium. RNAcentral describes it as "bacterial SSU rRNA". It matches the Rfam family "Bacterial small subunit ribosomal RNA", at positions 9 to 1252 of the family's 1533-position model. The record is from RNAcentral. Lineage: Bacteria; Pseudomonadati; Pseudomonadota; Gammaproteobacteria.